GGGUUUGCAGCACGUUAGCCUGUUUUCUUUUUUAUUUACCAUUUAAUAUUUCUUUAUUCAAUGCCGUUGAUGAAACGACUGCGUUCCCUGAAAUCUGUUUGUGUAAAUAAACAAAUACACGUUAUUUAAACUCGUGUAUAAAAGUGCACUGAUCAGUGCUAAUGGUCCGAGUCGAAGUCGGCCAGGUUAAUCUAGUUAUGCGUAAGUUUACACACCCUCAGGAGCACAAAUAGGAUAUGAAUAGUUUAGUUUUGUUUUUUCCCCUGAGACGAUGGAUUUUCAUAAACAGCAGGUUUGUUGUGUGACUGCUCUGUUCGUAUCCGGGUCGGUGAACGAGGCACGGAAUUUGUAAGACAAAUAAUGUGAAUUAAAAAGGAGGGAAAUCAAAGGAGUUAUUUUGAGACUUACAUUUUCUUUCAGUUAUUAAUAAUUAAAUGAAAAAAGAAAUAAUGACAAUAGUUGAUACUGAGUUAUUAUUGUAAGUAAAAUGAGAAGUAUUGAUUAUUUUUAUUAACUUAUUAGUAUUUGUGUAUUUUAUUUUUAAAUAGUAUUUAUUUAUGUAUUUGUGUAGUAUUUAAGAGUAUAGAGAAUAGAGAGGAGGGGAAUAGAAAGAGAGAAUAGAGAGAGAGAAUAGAGAGAGGGAAUAGAGAGAAUAGAGAGAGAAUAGAGAGGGGGAAUAGAAAGAGAGAAUAGAGAGGGGGAAUAGAAAGAGAGAAUAGAGAGAGAGAAUAGAGAGAGAGAGAAUAGAGAGAGGGAAUAGAGAGAAUAGAGAGAGAGAAUAGAGAGAGAGAAGAGAAUAGAGAGAGGGAAUAGAGAGAAUAGAGAGAGGGAAUAGAGAGAGAGAAUAGAGAGAGGGAAUAGAGAGAAUAGAGAGAGAAUAGAGAGAGGGAAUAGAGAGAGAAUAGAGAGAGGGUGAAUAGAGAGAGGGAAUAGAGAGAGAACAGAGAGAGGGAGAAUAGAGAGGGCGAAUAGAGAGAGAAUAGAGAGAGAGAAUAGAGAGAGGGUGAAUAGAGAGAGGGAUAGAGAGAGAGAAUAGAGAGAGGGUGAAUAG
This is a long non-coding RNA of Ictalurus punctatus (channel catfish), 1051 nucleotides long. NCBI's taxonomy places the organism in Eukaryota, Metazoa, Chordata, Actinopteri, Siluriformes, Ictaluridae. The record is from Ensembl.